Molecule: ribosomal RNA, 358 nt
Filed under: Dorymenia sp. 1 FSB-2019
Lineage: Eukaryota; Metazoa; Mollusca; Solenogastres; Cavibelonia; Proneomeniidae
Description: partial large subunit ribosomal RNA
Source: RNAcentral
GGAGUAAAUCUAAACGGCCGCAGAAUUUUAACUGUGNUAAGGUAGCAUAAUCAUUUGUUCUUUAAUUGAGGACUAGUAUGAAUGGUCUAACGAAAUUAUACUUUCUUAUUUAUAUACAAUAAAAUUUUAUCUUAAAGUCAAAAAGCUUUAAUAAAAUAAAAAGACAAAAAGACCCUAUAGAGUUUUAUUUCUAUUAUUAAAAAUAAUUCUGCAGAAAUUUUGUUGGGGCAACAAAGAAAGAAAAAAUUUUUCUUUACAUUAAUAUAAAUUAAAUCAUUUAUUUAAUAAAACAAAAUAAAUUACCUUAGGGAUAACAGCGUAAUUUUCUUAAAGAGUUCAAAUCGAAAAGAAAAAUUAC